GUGAGAGCAGUUCUGUCCCAUUCCCACUCUUCUUGUUGCAUACUGCUCUAGGAGGGAGCUGCAAAUGCCACUGCCAGGGGAUACAGUGGUGCCUGGCAUGCAGGGCACCUCUGAACCCCCGUAGGACACUAUAUGUAGCACAGGUCUAUAAUUUACUCCACAGUCAUGUGUUCCAUAUUAGUCAAUCAUGCUACUGAGGUUUGGGGUUUUUUUUUGUCUAUUUAAAUGAUGCCAUUAACCUUUGUAGUACACUGGGUUUUUCCUCUGUAAUAACAUUUGUCACUGCGCUAGUACACAAUUCUAUUUUAGCAGUUUUGAAGUCUGCAUUAGUUGUUAAAAUACUUAAAAUACUUCAAUUUAUUUUUUCAAUCUGUUUCUUUGGAACCGUGUAGGUUAAAAAAGCUUGUGCUUCAACUGUUGCUUAUACUGUUUUAUUUAUCUAUCUGUCUAUCUAUCUAUCUAUCUAUCUAUCUAUCUAUUUAUUUUUAAGUUGGCAGUUUUUACUUGCCUUUCAGAGACCAACAGCAGAAAUGGGAAGUUCGUAGAAGAGUACUGAUAAAUAGCUGACAACAUAUUUUCUUUUUUUUAGAGCCCUUAAAAUAAUUUUGACUGUUUUAGGCAUUACCUGAUGCCUUACAUGUAGCCAGCUAAGCCAGACCCUAUGCAGAAAAAAUGUUAUGUUAUGAAAAAAAUGUCAAAUUCCUCUUGGGUACAAGCUGUUACCUUCACUGAAGUAAACUAGUAUUUUAGAAUAUAUGCUGGAUUAGUCGUACAGGGGCCUUAGAAUAUACUUUGUUAAUAUUAGUAGUUGGAAUUUUUUUGUCUUUUUUAAACUUUCCGUGGCUGGUGCUGUGUGCUGUUUCAUUUUGUUGUGAGAAGGUACAGUGAUCGACAGCUGUGGUGGAAGCAGAAGCAGCCUGGCACUGCACAGGAAGCAGUUAUGGGGCAGGUCCUGUUGCUGUCUAGCUGUUCUGCAGAUUUUCCAUGAGUGAUCGUAAAACUGAAGACCCUUUCCAAGGAUCCUGGCUGUAAUUCUGUGACAGUAUGUGUAUGCCAGAAAUUUCAACAAAGUAGCAGGCUUUCUCGUGGUUGUUAUUUUGGAGUUUUUUUCAGGUGGUGUGAUAGUGUUGUCAGGGUGUGAUAUACACCCAUAUUCUGUGGAUUUGAAGAAAGAACCAGAGCUGUGCAUUUCUGUUUGAAAGUUGAAACUUUUAUCAGGUGUUAAAAGCUGUGCACCAAAGGCACCUGUGGUGAAAUCAGUGGACCUGUGAUUUUUGCAUCUAGUUUAACAGUCAUGGAAGUGGUUUAACUUAUGAUACGGUUUUGUAGCAUUCCUUUCUCUGUCAUCAUACUUGGCUUUGCUUUUUUAUUCAACACCUCCACGUAAAAUAAACUGUUGUUUCUCUGGAAAGUAUACUGCCUAUGUAGAGAUUGUGUUCUCUUUCUAUCCUGGUGAAGUGGUCCAAGAAGACGGUCAGUAAUUUUGAGGUGAAAUUUGUUUUCUUCCAUCAAGGUACCUGGACCAUUUUGGAAAGAGGGCAGAAUCCUUUAAUCAGUAUGUGCUGAGUCUCUGUGCUACUUUUGCAGUGUGAGGGCUGGCUUGGGCAUGUAAUUCAAUGAUAGAUGUGAGUUAAAAUCAGCUGAAAGUUUAAUAGAAGUUUCUUCUUGUACCACCCUGCCCACUGUGGGGCUGGACUUGAAGUGUUUCCAGCUGUCAGGAUGGACUAGCAAGUAGUGAACUGCAAUGGCUCUUUUGUUACUGGUGGAAGAACCAUCUGAAUAAAUGCUAAGGCUGGGCUCUUUGGGAAAGAUUUUUCUGGUUUUUAAAUGCUUACUGUUGCAGUUACUCAGAAAGAGUUUGUACACUGUGUAACUACUGUAUGUGAUUAACUCUUGUGUGGGGUGAAUUAUGUCACAUUAAGUAUUGAAUUCUGAAAGAUUACUGGAUCAAGAAAAAUAAUACAAACCAACAAGUUACUGGAUAUUAUCUGUUAAUCAGCAGCUUGGUUCUUAGGAAAAUCUACUAAAGCUCCUUGAAAAAAAGGCUAAUUUUGUGGGAAUGAUUCAUGUAUUAGGUGAGUCAGUUAUCUUUCACUAAGAGGACACUGGCUGCAAAAUCACUGGAAUAAGCUCCAGCUUUAGUAAUUCUGCAACAAAUGACAAACUGUAUUUGCAGCAGAAUGUUUUUAAGAAGGUCCAUAAGACGUUUUCAAGGAAAUGUUUUCUUGCCUGUAAAUUCUCUGUUAUUCCAGCAGAGGGUAGUUUAUCCUCUAGGAAGCUAGGUGUGUUGAAGGAAUGAUUGGGAAAGGUAACUUAAUGAUUCCCAUUUCCUCUUGUUUUAGAUAAGGCAAUAAAAAUUAACUUCAACUGACUGACCUCAUCAGAUUAACAAAUACUAAAACAUACUGUUAGGCUACGAUAUGUUCUUAGGCUGGGACUGGAAAGGGCAGCCAAAUUCAACAGUAGUCCCAUUUCUGUCCUGCUACCAAGGGCUUCAUUUGCCCUUCAAGAAUUACUGCAGUUUGUUGUGCUGAGAAUAGUUGCAUUAUCAGCCUAAGAGCUACUUCACUUUAUCAGCUAGUGAAGUAGAUACAUGAAGCAUUUUUUAUUUCAAAUACAUAAAUCACUCCACUUGAAGAGUGUUUGGCUUGUUUGCUGUUCCUUAAAAGCCCUUCUUUCUGCCACUGUACCCACUGCUGCAGCAGCUGACGGCGAGGAGAAUAUAUAUUUGCAGGUGUUUGUGCUAGUACCCACCUGCAGCUGCUCUCUGCUCUGCUCACUGGUAGGGGGUGUUGACUGGGGGAUGUUCUUUCUAUGGUCUCCUCUUCUGUGAUACUUUAUUUUAAAUCAGUCAUCAGGAAGUAGUCCUGAAGUAAGCUUUUGUGACUGUCAGUCCUGAGGUGCAGCAGAAACUCGAGAAAGCACGAGUGAGGACAGUGAUGACUGAAUAUAUGAAAGGGUAGCAGAAGAGAUGUGAGGAUCCACAGUUGUUCUGUUGCCACGUUUCAAUGGAGCCCUAUUACUCAGAAUUUGUUUCCUUCAAAGCAGCGUUUCAGCUCCUCAUGGAUAUUGGCCUUUUUGCCUGACUUCUAAAAAGAAUAUACUAAUAUCUAUCUUUCUAUUUGUCUUAGUGAGAGGUGUAAUAUGGUUAACACUAUGCUGCAUAUCUUAAACUUCUGUAUAAUUUGCUCUAAAAAAAAUCGUCAAGGAGUAUUCCUGUAAGAAACCUGUGAAUAUGGUCAGUGUCAAUCAUGUCCAUGCUUCCAUGACUAGCUUGAUUGAUCUUGGUGUUACUUUCACUUGGAGCUUUCCCUGUGGUGCGCAGGACUUCUAUUUUUUGUAUUUUCGUUCUUUUUGUUUGUUUGUUUUUGUUAACACGUUUGCGUCAGAUAGGCAUGUAAUUCAAAUCUAGCUGUAUCCCUCUGUGUUACAGACUUUCCCUCCCCUUUUCUAGUUUUGAAUUUGCUUUCAGAAAUGACACGUUAUUGUUUUCUAUUUAUAAUUUUCUAUUUAUUGGGUAAGAAAGCCCUAACUAUAUCAAGGAUGAAUAAUGUAUCUAAAUUCUUUAUUUUGGAGCAACACAGGUAUAACCAGUUAACUUGCUUCUAAUUUUUAAACCAAUAUUCUACAUGAUCAAAGGAAUAUAGGAAAACUUUUGCAUGGAUCAGUAGAAGACACGUCGUACUCUCUACCAAUUAUACAAGAAGCCUAGGCAAUUAAUCUCUUAUUGCAGGUGCUUUGAUAAGCUAUUUUACUGACAUGGGAUGAUUUCAGAUCUGAAUACCAAUCCAAGAUCCCUUUUUCUAAACACCAGACAGACAAAAGAAGGAGGGGGAACCCAGGAAAGCUUUUCCAAAGUCAUACAAAAGCUGAAAGAAUUAUUUAAGAACCUGAUUCUGGAUUCAGGAAGCGGAGUGGCUGCAGUUUUCAUCUGAUCUGAGGGGGAAGAAAGAAUGAAGAUUGAAGCUGCAAUCAUGUCACCUGAAGGAUUGCACUUUAGGACUGUUUGCUUUAGUAUGGUAAAUGAAGUGUCUGUGUCCUUCCCAUCCUUUCGUAGAUAAACUGGCUUUUUCAUUUCCUGAAUCCUGGGAAUGAUGUCAGAGAAAAUGAAAAUUAUAACCCAGGAUAUCUUAAGUAUUUCUGUGGUAUGAGAGUCCCCUUGAGACAUGCUGACAAGAAAGAAGAAGGAAAACAAUGCAAAGGAGCAAUGUUUCUUGUUGGAUGAUAAGGGCCUCUGGAGAUGUCAAAGGUUUAUGGCAUCUCAUUUGUGAUUUCUUCCUGCAUGUAAAUCUGUGAUAUGCUUACUGCAGUAAUGCUUCAGCCUCACCCACCUGAGCAAGUGCAAAUAUAGCAGUGUUGUGGGACACUGUCUCUGACAUGGCAGAUCUCGAAGGAAUGUGUGUGAUGUAUCACUCAGUUCAUGGACAUGUAUGCCAUGUGGAGAGCAUUCCUGCAUAAUGUCCUGAUGCAUAUUAAUUAGACAAGCAAGAUACUCAUGUGAUGUAAAUCAGAUUCUUUCUUGGAAAUGUACUGAUUCAUAUCACAAGUCAGAAUCUAACCCAGUUUGCCCACUAUGUCAGAAAUUAUAGUCUGUUUUACAAAUAAUCUAAACUAUUUUUAUAUGUUCAGGCAGAGAGAAUGUUUUAUUUUAGUGAUUAAUGACUAAUCAUAUUAAUUUUAUUAGUGUGAUGAGAGAAGGAAUAUUAUCUGUAAAGGCUGUGGAAAGAUGGUAGCUUUCAAGAGAACUGGUGGGGCAUACAAAUAUGGGAGGUUUGGUGGUAAGACUGCGAAUGAUGGAAGAGAGGAAUACAAUGGGAGCAGGUGGAGAAACAGAGUUGGAGAAAACUUGUUUUGUAGGUGCACUUCUUUUUCUUGGAACUUCAUUAUUUGAAUAUCCUAAAGGUGGUCUUCACUCCAUUUCUUCAUGUCUUUCUGUUGGGUUACAGUAAAUGCUCUCAGUCUGAGCUGCUCGCUCUAUUGCUUUGUGUGCACCCAGAAUUGUGCUGACCCCAAGUGAUCGAGGUAUUUCCCCACUCUGGCAGAGACAUUGUGCUUCUUGAUCUCUUGUCUAAGCUGCUGGGCACUACACUCAAAAAAAAAAAUCACAAAAAUUGCUGCAGCUUCAAGGUUUGCUGUACCCAGGUGCUUGGUUGUGAAUUUGCAUCAUUAAAGUUAGAUGAUUACGAAACCUCUAGGAAAAGGUGAGUUACAUGGCAAAUCCAACAGGCUGAAUGGAGAGUUGCUUGGGAGGGAUCUUGAAAAGGAGGAGUGCCUUAAGCAGUGUCAUUGUCUGGGACUGGUGUCCUUCAAGGCAGGCUCCCUUUCCUGAAAUUAGCCAUAUGGCCUUUUUUGUUCAAAAACUCUUACUGCUCUGUUGCUUGCCUGCCACUCCCAACGUGUGCUAUGCACUACCUCAGCAGUUAAAAGGCAUCAGGCUUGCAUUCAGUUCCUUUCUCUGCCUGAGGGAGCUCUAAUCAGCAUCUCCUAUCUUCCAGGAAAGUAUCCUGGCUAUAAAAUACUGAGGUGGGAUGGUUGCAGUGUCUCCUCUUGAAGGUGUUUUGCUGUGCGUGGAAUAAUUAAAUAUUAAUUGGGAGUGCGAAAGAAGAUCAGUUUACUGAUUAGCUCACACAUCUGGGAGUAGAGAGACAUGAGUUUUAAGCCCUAGCUCCAGGGAGUGCUUGUCAUUGGUCCUGCAGUCUGUCUUCAGCCUGGUUUUCUGAGGAUGUCCUUGAUUGGAAUGCCACAGUUAGGGGAAGCAGCAGAAUGUGGAACUAUCCAUAGAUAUGAACAGAAGUGAAACUGAUAAAAAUUAAAAUAGUGCUAGAGAUGUCAGCUCUCUUGAGCAAUAGCAGCUGAGUGUGCUGAUAGGCAGGUUUAACUAACAGGGAUGAUGCUGAGUAUCUAAUUUUGGAACUUAACCACCAAAUUAAGUGUCUAAAUCCUACCUCUACAGAGGUAUCCUACCUCUGCAGAUCUAACCAUAAAUGCUAAUGCAUGCUGAAAAUGUAAGGUAUUUUUACAGUCCUGUGCAACCUCUUGUGCUGAUAUCAUUGAUUUGCUCCUUUUUGUAUUGUAUGUACCUCUCAAACCUCCUCCUUGUGUCUUUCGCUUUCACAGCUUUCCAUUUCCAUGCAUGCUUCAGUUUAUUCUAUCAAGAAUCCCUCAGUUCCUUUUUGCUGGAUUCCAUGUCUAAAACUGCUUCUUCGAAUACACUGUGCCAUGUAUCAAGGCUGAUCGGCUUACCAGUGGUUUCUGCAGGUUGUUUUUAGCUUUCAUUACUUCCUUACUGGAGUGCUUUUGAUGCCGUAUUAACCAACUUGACUAAUGUGUGGCAAUGAUGGUAUCGAUGCUCUUUCUGCUCACUUUUUUUUCCUACAGGAACUAAUCAAUGUAUUUUAUCUGAAUUACUAUCCUAGUUUUUGAUGAUUAUUUUACUGGAUAGUGGUUGGUAAUCUCCUUUUGAGAGAUAAAUGGCUCAUCCAGUAUCUUAUAAAAAUGUAUAAAGAUAUAAAUGGUAGAAAUUGUCUGUACUAAUAACAUUUUUAUCAGUGAUUUAAUCUCUUCCAGUGUUUAGGGAUUAUGCAGUUUAUAGGACUUUGUUCUAUUUCUUUAAUAAGUAUGACCAUCAAGAAAAGAACGUGCUUUUUCCCUCCCAGUUUCAUUGCUGGUUCAGAAGGAACUGGGAUGCUAACUAUAUUUUUAAGAUGUAAUCUGAUAUAUUUCUACUUGUCAAGUACUAAGCAUAGAGUACUACCUUCAGUCUUCGAAGUGGUGGUGGGUGUUAAAGUUAGCACUUUACUGCAAGCUAAAGUUUUUUACCAGAACCCAGUCAAGAAAGCUAAAUUGGCUGUGGUAGUUUUCUUUCACUGUCACAAGGCUUUGCUAAUACCAUAGUGUGCUUUUAAGACUCUUUCAGUAGCUAAGAGAGUCCCACUUAACAGAGUAUUACAGACAUUUAUGUAAUAAAAUAUGUGACAUCUGUAAGCUCUACUGUCUUGAAAUUGUUAAUACAAAAGAUAAUGUUGUAGACGUCAAUUUUUGGAGCAGUUCCUAUUCAGGAAGUUUAUAUGCCAGUGGCAGCUGUAGUGAAUAUUUUGAAAAAUUUGAGUAUUUUGAAAAAGUGUGUCUGUUCUUGCAGGACUUUACUGGAAAUUCUCAGCAUUGUGUUUUGUCUGGGAAUGAGAAGAGAAUGUGUUAGAACAAUACCUAAGCAUUUACAAACUGAAAAACCUGCUAUCAAGCGCUUUUUAAUCGUAACCAGAAACUUCUUCAGCUGUCUGAAAUAUCUAACAGCAUGGCAGAUUAUUGAGUAUUUUAGUGAUAGAGAGUACUGCAGUAUCCAUUUUGGUAGACCAAUGUGAACUUUUAAAAAUACAAUUUGUUUUAUCUGAAGGACACACAGAUAUUAGUAUCAUUCCAUUUUAAAGAAAAUGGAUCACCACGACAUUUUGAGAGCAUUAGUAGAGAUACUUUUGACUAAGUGCUUACCCACUGAUUGAAAAGCACAAUGCAUUUUCAUUCAGCCCCAGCAUAAAGCAUCUGUCUUUUAUCUAUGCAGAGACAGAGUAAGAAGCAUGUAUUCUUUUGAUACUUUUGUUAAAUGUUUGCCCUGUUAGUUUAAUUUUUUUAAUCUGUGUCCUGCAUUAAACCAACAACACUAAGUGCAACGUAUGAUUUUCAUUCAGACUGAUGAACUCAGUUACUGUACCCAAGGUGUUUAGCUUUGCAAUAAUUUCUGGCAUCAUAAUUCAAAUCUGAAUUAACUGUCUCUAUACUUUUUUAUUCUCCAUCUCCCAAAUAAUUUAGUAUUAAUGAUAAAACCUGAUUCUCGUUGUGAAUUUACCAAUAAAGCAGUUAUGAUACUGGUCUUAGGGGAAAAAGUAUGCAGAUAUGCUUGGAAUUGCCCAAUUAGUAAUUUCUUUCUAAUUUCCCUGUAGCAGGGAAGUAGUGAAAAGAGCUUUUGAUAUCCAGCCAAGACAGUUGCAUCAUAAAGGUUUUAAAAUGACAAAUUAAAUUCCAUUAAUUGUGACCUGUUUCUAUGAAAACCUAAGUCAAACCAGAUUGAAAUCAUGCUGUGCGGUUCCUGGCUCGUGCUUUCAGGAUAUUUAUGUUACCAGAAUAUUUGCUAACUGGUGGAACUGAAGGUAUGUUGAAAAUGUUAUCAACUCUUGACAUGAUGAGAUGCACAAAUGGGCAUUAUUUUUUUUGUCAGCUAUUUUUCACUCACAUUUUUGUUCUUUUUUGUUCUUGAGACUAUUUGUGUCUUUUUCAUUUCAUUCUUCACCUUUUUUUUUUUUUCAAGCAGCUUUAUUUGAUUUGAACCAUCUGAUUUGUUUGUUGUCUCAGAGAAACAUGAACAGUGUGCAGACCUGAUAAAAAGUAGUAUUGGGGACACUGUGUGACAACUAAAAGCUUGGAGUUUUUUGUUUCAUUUUAAAACCUGACUUUUUUAUAAUCCUUUUUCUUACGUUGUGUGCAUGUUUGUAACCCCUGAAACUGUCACUUUGGGUUAUUCCUGGAAAUGGUGCAGUUUGUAUACAGAGCAGAGGGGCUAAAACUAAUCCAGACCAUGUCUCCUGUCUUCAGAUCACCAACCUUAAAGCCAUUUCUGAAUUCCUGUGGGGCAUAUGUUUUUGAGGAAGAUUGCAGAGGGGCAUAAAAGAAGAACUGCAUCCUAAAUUUACAUUUAAUUUCCUACAUGCACUUUAAUUUGGCCUCCAGAAGUUUGUUUAGCAGAAUCCUUAGAGUCAACAGAACUCUUGAGCACUAAUGAGAUACAGAAAGAUAAAUACACUUCAUAAUAAAUUCAUGUUACUAUCCACUCAGAACAAAUUUUAAGGAGGCAAAUGAAAAUUAAAUAUUUAUAAAUAAAAUGAACUGAAUUGCAAAACAAAUUUCAGUCUGUAAGAGGAAGGGGAAGCCUUCUGAAAGCUAAAAUUGCUGUUACAGUAACUGGAAGGCUCAAAUAUUGCACAAGAGAUUUAGCCUGACAGCAGAUGAACAGUUUAGGGAAAUGAACAGCCGAGCAGCUCUGUUUCCAGUAGAAGUAAUAGACUCAGCAGAUUAGUUGUGGAGAUUGUAGCCUCAGCAAUGGAGGGCUAGUAAGGUGUUUAAUAUUUUUCUGGUUUUAAGUCUUAAUGAUCUAUGUCUGAAAAGCACGCUGAGAGAUGCUGCUGACAGUUUUUAAAAAGGAAGCUCAGACUUUAGUAGAACUUGUCUUCUCAGUAGGGGUACAUACUCUUGCCACUUCUCUCUGCUUUUCAGCUUGCUCUUGCUAUUUAAUCUUCAAAUUGUUUCUGAGCCUUUGCCAUGGUGGAUGGAUGCUGUCUUUUUGCUAAAAAUAAACUUGCAGUUUGAGAAGAAUUAACAGAGAAUUUGCUUGAUGUCCUGCUGAAACCUGCAUUCCACUGAAGCUGCAUUUCAGCUUUAGAUGACUGAAAGGCAAAUCUUUGUCUUCAUAGAGAUUAGAUCGCAAAUAAAUUACCAAUAUGGAGAUUUUCACCCAAAUAAUGGCCCUGUGCAGGCCUUUACAGAUCUGUAUUUGUUGAUCUAUACUGUAGGGGUCAAUAAAUAUUAUACUUUUUAUGAUAUUUAGCUCAGGAUGAGACACUGAGAGGAAAAUCCUUGCUUGAUUUCAGUACGGCCUCUCAGUGAUGCUAUGAAAGAAAGAUACAUUUUGAAAUAUCUCCUCUGUUAGGUAGCUGCACUUUUGCUUUUCAAGAAUGCUUCCCUGGCAAGUCCAGCAUUUCCCUCUUUUCCUCUUGAGUCAGAGGACUACCCAUGUCACCAUUUCCUUGGUAGUUACAAGCUUCUGCCAUGAGCUUCUCUGUACUUUUGCCUCUGAGUAAUGGUUUUUCUCCUACUCUUUUUAAAUUUCUUCUCUUUUUUUCUGUCACCAUACCUGCAUUUGUCAGUGACUUCUGUGAACACUGACUCUUGGUUUUGCCUCAUGUGUCUUGUAUCCCUGAUGAUGUGUGCCUGCAUUCUCUGUAUACCGUAAACCAGGAAAAAUGCCUAGUGUUUUUGUUUAUUUUAUCCAUUUCCAGAUUUGCAAGUACAGAUGUGCUCCUGUUGCAAUAAUACUUCGUAAUGUAAAUAUUUUCUAUGUAUAUAUUGCAUAUAGUACCUUUUGUUUAAAAACCAAAACUGCUGUUGUUUUUUUACACAAUUAAUCCUUUCUGAAUGAGAUUUGAACAGAUGAAGAAAAAAAGAAUUUAUAAGAUAUUUUUUGCUAUGAAUUAUUUCCUGGCAUUAAAAUAAGGAGACACAUUCUCCCAGCAGAACAAGAGAACAUACAUAGAACAUACAGUCCUAAACACUCAGCAAUCAUGUUUUUUGGUUGAAGUAUUUAUUUUAAAAUGCAAUACAGUUAGAAAAUUAGGAAUGCCACCUGUUUGUAAUGAGGAAUGGACAACAUCCUGGGACAGAAGUGAAAAUGAACAAAUUGACUGAGGUUGGGAUUGUCGUUCUGAUUGCAUAAUAGUGAGUGUGUGUCAGCUGGAGGGACAGAGAGAAGAGGGAGAUCAGAGGUUCAUGGGAGGGUGUUACUGUGUAAGUGUGCUGACAGUUUCAGGGGCUGUAUUGCUUUGAGCAUGUGGGGCUAAUUCAAGUGGUAAAGAGCACAGCUGUCUGAAACAGCAAUACUGAGACCCAGAGUUAAAAAUUAGGUUUCAGAUACAUUUUUAAAAGAGGUCUUACCGAGAGCUUAUUUACUGGCAGAUAGAGACUUCUUGGGCUGGAGUGAGGGGAGAGGGCCAGGGCUGAAGUCUUCUUAUUCAGCGUGCCAAGAACCUUGUGCCAGCAUCAGACUUGGGACACUUAUGGUCCCAUGGUCAUCACUUUUUAAGCUCUCCGACAGAGAAGUAAUUUGGUCUUUCUGUUGCUAGACUGGCUUGUUGGAAUAGGUUUCAAAAUGUGACUUGCACCAAGUGACAGUAACAAUUUAUAGGGAAAUCUGAAAGGUCUGGUGCUGUCUUCUCAAGCCUUAUAAGCAGCCUGGGGAGUUUUACCAAAAUCGUAAGAGAUACAGAACUAAUGGAAAUUGAAAAUCCUAACACAAAGUUUUAUUCAAUGUACAUCUAUGUAUCCUCAUACUUAAAAAAGCAAGUCUCCUCUUUAACCUGAAAUAUAAAAUAUCCAAUCUCAAAAGCUUUGAAAUAGCAAAUCUCAAAAGUUUUAGCACAGGAAUUGCAAAAAUAUAUGUAUCAGAUUAUUUCCUGUGCUUUCUGAUAUAUGAUAUUUUUAUUUGUUCUAAAGAUAUGGAGUUAUUUCCUAAAAAUAAUUUGUUGAGACUGUCUCAUUGUGCUGAGAAACCCUGCAGCAUCAGCUUUCGGGGUUCUUAACUUUAUGAACUAACAGGAAUAAUACAAGUUUUAACAAAAAGAAAAAUCAUGGAACAACGUAGCAGGGAUUUAGAAAUUCUAUGCAGUGUUCAUUAAGUGCUUUUUGUCUGCAGCUCUCAGGUUCCAUAACUAUCAAUUCUGCAGAAGCAAUCCAAAGUCUUCUUAAAUUGUUACUCAAAAACUUUCUAAGGUGGAACUCAGUGGCACAUGAAGAAGUUUACGACUUCAGUUUUGUGAAAGUUUAAAGAUGAACAUAGCUGGCUGCACUAAUGCAAUAAAGGCAAGGACAGAAGGAUCUUACAUUUAGAGUCUUGCUUUGAUGUUUGCAUCUUCCCUGGAAAGAAAUUUUGUGCAAACAAUUGAAUGGUGUAUAAAAAAAAUUUGCUCCACAAGCACCAUGGGAAAAAUCUUGUAACCACGCUCUAUGUAGUAUAGAGAAAUUUGAGAUAAAUAGGCAGAUUUCGUCUGAUUUCAAUAGUCUUACAGUGUUACGCAGAUGUCUUCUGUAAGGGAAAGUCUGGAAAUUCCUCCUAUUUUAAACUGCAGUUUUGUCACCAUUUAGAUUAAACUGAGUGUGGGCUGCUGUGCUAUACUUACGGAUAUCUUUUUCCUGUAGGUGUUUGUUGACUCAUAUUGGGGUUUAUGUUUCUGAAAGAUUGUUGCCUGGAGUGCUUUCACCUGAAUUUGGAGGUUAAUUUUCCCCUUAAUCUGUAUCUUGAUCUCACUGAAUGUGAUCAUACAAAGGCCUUUAGGAAUGUGCAGCUGAGGGAGGAUGGGGUUGUUCCUUUCAGCAGCAGCCUAACUCCAGCAGUAUUUCAGGUGCCACAGAGACGUCCCCUGAGACCAUGUAGAAUUGUCCUCUGACAGUGGCAGUCCAUCUCAUCUGACCACAGAAGGAAUCUUCUUAACUUGCUGAAACAAUAUUCUUUAUCUUAAAUAGUAAAAGCAAAUGUGAUCAAUCCUGCUCCCAAAGUCUAUGUUUCAGAAUAUUGUAUUACAUAAGAGAGUAUUUGUGCUGGGAUAUGGGCAGGUACCUUUAAGAAAACAGUAUUAAUUUAAAAAUCAAUUUCCAUGACAUUUUCUAAACUUGAUGCUAUUUUAUGAGUGAAGUAAUAAUCUGUUUUCACUGUCCUGUCUACUGAUGAGUAUGACUUGUUGCUCACAACUUUAUUCUAUAAACUAACCCUACUGAUUUCACUUAGUUGCAACAAUAAACUCAAUUGCAUCAACUGAAAGGACUAUAUUUAUAGAAAUCUAUUAAAUUAAUUUAAUUAUUUUGUAUUAUGUAAUUUGAUUUAUGUUUAAAAAAACUCAUGUUGCACAAAAAAAUAAUUUUAUUGUGAUUUAGGUUUCCUUGCAGUGAAAAUAUGGAGGAUGGUUUUGAUUCUGGAAACUGCUGUCUAUGUGAAUAACACCAUGAAAUUAACAACUGGAAAACUGGUGUCAAAAUUUAUAGUGAACCCAUAGUUCAUGUCUUUAAAUUAUUAAUGUUGAAUCCAGUUAAUGUCUUUGGGUUUAAUUGGGAAAUAGUUCAGAAAUCUGUCUCCUGUUUCCCCUUUGCUGUCUUUGUGUUUCUUAUUGUUGUUUGCCCACUAAAUUUAGUUUAAUUUAGUUUAAUUUUUCUUCUAACUUUUCCUUAGCAGAUUUCAGAAGUCUGCUAGGUAUGUGAAGAAAAUAGAAGGAAAAGCUGUGGGUUUGUUUGCCACAGUGUGUUUUUCCAAGAAUGCUUUGUGAAUAUUAAUCUUUUUUUUCAAUGGAAAAAAUAUUUUUCUUAAUGAUUGUAGGAAGGUGACAGUGCUUCAGUCACUGUAAAUAAAACAGCAUUCUCUUUCAAUAAAACCCAGGGAUUUUUUGUACUGUAAACAUUAUAAAGAUAUUACUCAUUAAUAUUAAUCUGGAACUGAGCUUCAACUUUAACUUUCAAACAUGUUCCAAGGAAUAGAAAAGGGAAAGACUAGGGAAUUUUUUGUACGGAUAUGUCUUCUGGCCGGAUGUUUUUUUACCAUGGAGGUAAACUUUCUUUGUGUGCUUUGGCUCUCGUUUUGAACUACUCAUUCUGGAGAAACAAAAUAAAGGAAAAAAAGAGGCUUACAGAAGCAUGCUUUUGACCUGAACACAGCUACUACAGAGCUUCCAAUUUCCAUGGUAUUAAAGAACAAAGACACUUCACUGAAGCACUGGGUAAUAAAGUGAAAUAAUGGAAAAUGUGUCUAUGAGGUUAAAAUAAUUGUAGUGAUACAAUACUGUGAGGACUAUGCCAAAGCACAAAGGGAUGGUUUGUUCUUAAUUUUUGUUUCCAGUGUCCUCUGUUGUUAAACACAACUCAAAAAAACAUUAUCUCGGAAUCAAAAGAGACUGUUCUGAAUGUCUGUCCUGCAUGUGAUAAUGCUGAUUCAAACUUUUUUUGUCCAAAUUAUUUGCAAACUUACACCAGCCCUGCGAAAAAUCACAUGUUCAGCAGCCUACCUGCAAGGGCUGAAUUCUGUUCAUCUUGUUCAGUAUCAACUGGUGUAAAUUCUUUAGAUCAAUUUGUCAUUGUCCUUUAGGCUGAAGUACUUCAUGCAUGCUAAAUGGCAUUGAUUCAAUUGGAAUUAAAUGUGUGUGACUCUUCUGUGGAAGAAAGAUGGAAUUUUCUUAGCUGUUUCUUUGAUAUCAGAAGAUCUGUCUACUUUUUUCUAUGCUUUUUAAGAAGAAAAGUUCAUUAAUUUCCAGAGCAUAUCACCAUUUGUGCCUUUCAUUUUUAUAUGUGGUCUCUGUAAAGUAAGAUAGUUGUUCCACAGCUAGCAUUCUCAUCUCAGGAUGCAAAAGCAUAGGCACCUAAGGUGAUGUUUUCUGGCUGUAUGUCUAUGAAGCUAAAACUUCAUUUUCAAAAUCUUAGCUUUUCAAACUUCUGUCUUGUUUGUCUGUGAUAUGUUAGCAGCCACUGCCUAUGUUACCUUUCUAUUUCUGAUGACAGUUAAAGUACCUUUAAAAAGAAUUAAAAGCCUGGUUUUGCUGAAGUCAGCAGCAGCUACAGCUGUUAACUGCAGUGGGAUUAAGAACUUGAUAUCAGCAGCCUCUUGAAAGAGAAUUCCCACUUAGAACAAAACCUGCUUAAAAUUCUUCUUCAGGAUGAAUUUUACUAAGGAUUGGCACCAAAGCUUAAAUGCAACAUAAAGAUAACAGUUUAGUCUGGCUCUGGACCUGAACAUUCCAGAGAUAUAUUUCAUCCUCUUCAAAUUGUAUGGCCAAAGUCUUGAUACGUACUUCUCUUGUUUAUAAACCAUUCUAGCACAUGACAGGUACAGAAAAUACUGCAUAGAAGAAACUAUUUUUGUUGUUGCUUUAGAUGUAAACUAUUGACAUUCACCUUUGGCUUAAAUUGUGUGAAUAAUGUUCUUGAUUGCCUUUGAUGGACUCAGUUAGGAUUAGGGUAUUGGUCAUCGACCUCCUGUACUGGAAAAAGGCCAUUUGUCACUGCAUACAUUACUAACAAUCUCAGAGCUACAAAGUGUACAAAUCAUAGAACAUAUUUGUAUCUGGAAGGUCUGAUUUUUCAUUUUUGAGGUGGUAUUUUGGAACAAUGUUUGAUAAUUGUUUCACUUGACAGCUGUGUUGCUUUAAUUUUUCCUCUUUUGAUGGCUUGGACUGCAGAUGUGUGUUCCCAUACUAAAAAAGUUAGAUGAAUGCAAUAAAGGAGGAAUUGGUUUAAGUCAAAUAAUAUGAAUGUGUUUUGAUGGUCCCACUUAUUUGGGCAACUGCUUUUUCUUAGCAUUUUUUCAUUGGUGUUUCAUUUUAGACAACUCCAAAAAGAAAGAAGAUUGACAAAUAAAGCCUGUACAAUCAUCAGGUAUACAAA
This is a long non-coding RNA of Corvus hawaiiensis (hawaiian crow), 15180 nucleotides long. RefSeq lists it as uncharacterized. The record is from RefSeq and is a predicted model, not a curated record. The transcript has 2 exons. NCBI's taxonomy places the organism in Eukaryota, Metazoa, Chordata, Aves, Passeriformes, Corvidae.